UUUCCUGUAGGUCGGAUGUGCUGGGCUGCUGCGAGCCAGGUUGAGAGGAGGAAUUCCGAGGGCCGCGAACAAAGCCCCAGACAGAGGGGUCCCAGCUGCGCCCGCCUAAGCUGGGUCAGAGAGAGCGAGCUGGGGAGCUGGAGAUGGGAAUAAUACAAAUACUAGAUGACGUGAAGAAAAGAUCAAGAUAGUCUCAAGAUCAGAAUUGCUUCAUGGUACGACUGGAAAUAGAAUACAGAAGGACUCAGAAAUGGGCAAGUCACAAAAGGAGCCUCAAUCACUGGGAGCCCACUAGGAAGAAAGCUGCGUGGAUAAAACUAUCCCAGAUGAGCAAAAAAAUAAACCUUUUUUGUGCUAACACAGACAACUAAGGUUGUUCAUUACACCAGAUAGCAUUGAUUACCUUAACUAAUAUGAUAUGUAAAAUGGUAAGAUAAAUUAUCCCUGAAACAUCUUAAAAUGUUUUUCCCUAUAUUCUUUUUUGUUGGGUGACGUCAGCCAUGUUUUUAUUGCUAUGGAAGCAUCUGCUCUACUUCCAGCUUGCUGUAUCCACAAUAAUCUUGUAAACUUGUUAGAACCAGAUACACAGAGAGGGGAAAGGGUUCUAGACAAGAGACUCUGAUAAGGAUUUGCCUAUACUUCUGCACAGGGACACCUACAUUUUGCCUUCUCAGAAUUCUCUUCAGAUAUGAUUUAGUUCAUUGAGGUGAUUUUUAUGUUUAUAUAACCCCUUACUUACCUGAUUUUCUUAUAUUAAACUUAAUACUUUUGCAUUUGGGCUGAUAUAUUGAUUUGUAUUUGCAUUCGCCAUAAAAGCCUACAGUACCUUGAAGCCAAAUAAAUUAUAUAGGUCAUAGAUUCAAUGCUUAGAGUUAUAAUAUAUUUGUCUGAACGCGGUAUGGUUUUGAAGUUAAUGGAUGUUGUAUAUACUAAAAUAAGCAAUAUCAUUCAGGCCCCAUAAAAUUUGCAUGUUGAUUCUGCAAAACUGUAUCCUUUUUUAACAUAAAAAAUUCACACAUGUACAUACGAGCCAUCUGCUAAAAAUUUUAUUGAUAAAACCAGAAGCAGCAGUUUUACAAAAUUGGAAUGAUUUUCAGUUCUGAACUAUCAUGAAUUCAGUUGCUGCAGACAUUUUGUACAAACUGGAGCUAAUGCUUCUCCUAUGUUUCUGUUUUAAACAAAAAGCAAUUAGAAUUUAUCCUCAUGCAUUUAAAUAUCUAAUACAGAAAUAGUUUUUAGGCUGCAUAAUAUAUGCUUUCCAACAUCUCCAUGAGACUGAACAUCUGCCUUAAGCAUUAUUUGUACAAGAAAAACAGCAUAAUUCUUCUAAUCACAAACUUAUUCUUGAUCACAGGUAAACAAUUUUGUAUUUUCUAAC
Molecule: long non-coding RNA, 1378 nt
Organism: Tupaia belangeri chinensis (Chinese tree shrew)
Lineage: Eukaryota; Metazoa; Chordata; Mammalia; Scandentia; Tupaiidae
Exons: 3
Source: RefSeq, a predicted model, not a curated record